GGAUGCGAUCAUACCAGCACUAAAGCACCGGAUCCCAUCAGAACUUCGAAGUUAAGCGUGCUUGGGCGAGAGUAGUACUAGGAUGGGUGACCUCCUGGGAAGUCCUCGUGUUGCAUUCCUUU
This 122-nucleotide ribosomal RNA is filed under the name Setaria italica (foxtail millet). The record is from RNAcentral. Lineage: Eukaryota; Viridiplantae; Streptophyta; Magnoliopsida; Poales; Poaceae.